AGCUAAUAGAUACCCAGGUAGUCCCGGCUGUAAACGGUGCAUAUUUGCUGUAAAAGGAAUCGACCCCUUUUGUGGCGUAGCCAAACGCGAUAAAUAUGCCGCCUGGGAAGUACGGUCGCAAGAUUAAAACUCAAAGAAAUUGACGGGGGCCUGCACAAGCGGUGGAGUAUGUGGCUUAAUUCGAUGCAACGCGAAGAACCUUACCUGGCCUUGACAUGCAUCUGGUAGGACCGUGGAAGCGGAACGACCCGCAAGGGGAGGAUGCACAGGUGCUGCAUGGCUGUCGUCAGCUCGUGUCGUGAGAUGUUGGGUUAAGUCCCGCAACGAGCGCAACCCUUGUGUCCUGUUGCCACCCCUCGAGAGAGGGAGCACUCUGGACAGACUGCCUCGCUUAAACGAGGAGGAAGGUGGGGAUGACGUCAAGUCAGUAUGGCCCUUACGGCCAGGGCGUGCACACGUACUACAAUGCCCGACACAGAGGGAAGCAAGGCCGCAAGGCGGAGCAAAUCUCAGAAAAUCGGGCCCAGUUC
RNAcentral lists this ribosomal RNA (530 nucleotides) under uncultured bacterium. Its description in RNAcentral is "bacterial SSU rRNA". It matches the Rfam family "Bacterial small subunit ribosomal RNA", at positions 767 to 1294 of the family's 1533-position model. The record is from RNAcentral.